RNAcentral lists this long non-coding RNA (1712 nucleotides) under Citrus x clementina. RNAcentral describes it as "Citrus clementina (C. clementina) long non-coding RNA (CCLE_LNC000669)". Lineage: Eukaryota; Viridiplantae; Streptophyta; Magnoliopsida; Sapindales; Rutaceae. The record is from RNAcentral.
CCCGAAGUUCGUGGUGCCAAAACCCCCCAGCGGAAAAAUGGCCAAAAAACGGGUGGGCUAUAGCCUUGGUGGGGGGCGCGGGCGAAGUUCGUCCGGCGGACUCGGAAUGGGGCGAGACUUUGCGAGGGGCCUCGGGGUGCCAAAACUAAGCCGCGGACAAAGCCGCGCCCAAAAAUAAGCGCCCGAAGGUCGUGCUGCCAUAAACCCCCAGCGGAAAAAUGGCCAAAAAACGGGUGGGCUAUAGCCUUGGUGGGGGGCGCGGGCGAAGUUCGUCCGCCGGACUCGGAAUGGGGCGAGACUUUGCGAGGGGCCUCGGGGUGCCAAAAAUAAGCCGCGGGCAAAGCCGCGCCCAAAAAUAAGCGCCCGAAGGUCGUGGUGCCAAAACCCGCCAGCGGAAAAAUGGCCAAAAAACGGGUGGGCUAUAGCCUUGGUGGGGGGCGCGGGCGAAGUUCGUCCGCUGGACUCGGAAUGGGGCGAGACUUUGCGAGGGGCCUCGGGGUGCCAAAACUAAGCCGCGGGUAAAGCCGCGCCCAAAAAUAAGCACCCGAAGGUCGUGGUUUCAAAAACCCCCAGCGGAAAAAUGGCCAAAAAACGGGUGGGCUAUAGCCUUGGUGGGGGGCGCGGGCGAAGUUCGUCCGCCGGACUUGGAAUGGGGCGAGACUUUGCGAGGGGCCUCGGGGUGCCAAAAAUAAGCCGCGCCCAAAAAUAAGCGCCCGAAGGUCGUGGUGCCAAAACCCCCCAGCGGAAAAAUGCCCAAAAAACGGGUGGGCUAUAGCCUUGGUAGGGGGCGCGGGCGAAGUUCGUCCGCCGGACUCGGAAUGGGGUGAGACUUUGCGAGGGGCCUCGGGGUGCCAAAACUAAGCCGCGGGUAAAGCCGCGCCCAAAAAUAAGCACCCGAAGGUCGUGGUUUCAAAAACCCCCCAGCGGAAAAAUGGCCAAAAAACGGGUGGGCUAUAGCCUUGGUGGGGGGCGCGGGCGAAGUUCGUCUGCCGGACUCGGAAUGGGGCGAGACUUUGCGAGGGGCCUCGGGGGGCGAAAAAUAAGCCGCGGCCAAAGCCGCGCCCAAAAAUAAGCGCCCGAAGGUCGUGGUGCCAAAACCCCCCAGCGGAAAAAUGGCCAAAAAACGGGUGGGCUAUAGCCUUGGUGGGGGGCGCGGGCGAAGUUCGUCCGCCGGACUCAGAAUGGGGCGAGACUUUGCGAGGGGCCGUGGGGUGCCAAAAAUAAGCCGCGGGCAAAGCCGCGCCCAAAAAUAAGCGCCCGAAGGUCGUCGUGCCAAAACCCCCCAGCGGAAAAAUGGCCAAAAAACGGGUGGGCAAUAGCCUUGGUGGGGGGCGCGGGCGAUGUUCGUCCGCCGGACUCGGAAUGGGGCGAGACUUUGCUAGGGGCCUCGGGGUGCCAAAACUAAGCCGCGGGGAAAGCCGCGCCCAAAAAUAAGCGCCCGAAGGUCGUGGUGCCAUAAACCCCCAGCGGAAAAAUGGCCAAAAAACGGGUGGGCUAUAGCCUUGGUGGGGGGCGCGGGCGAAGUUCGUCCGCCGGACUCGGAAUGGGGCGAGACUUUGCGAGGGGCCUCGGGGUGCCAAAAAUAAGCCGCGGGCAAAGCCGCGCCCAAAAAUAAGCGCCCGACGGUCGUGGUGCCAAAACCCCCAAGCGGAAAAAUGGCCAAAAAACGGGUGGGCUAUAGCCUUGGUGGGGGGCGCGGGCGAAGUUCGUCC